GAGGGUAUAGUUCAGUGGCAGAGCACAUGCUUAGCAUGCGUGAGGUCCUGGGUUCAAUCCCCAGUACCUCCU
RNAcentral lists this transfer RNA (72 nucleotides) under Camelus bactrianus (Bactrian camel). It matches the Rfam family "tRNA". From Rfam's summary of the family: Transfer RNA (tRNA) molecules are approximately 80 nucleotides in length. Lineage: Eukaryota; Metazoa; Chordata; Mammalia; Artiodactyla; Camelidae. RNAcentral also lists the same sequence under 2 other names. The record is from Rfam by way of RNAcentral.